CGGUAAUACAGAGGGUGCAAGCGUUAAUCGGAAUUACUGGGCGUAAAGCGCGCGUAGGUGGUUUGUUAAGUCGGAUGUGAAAUCCCCGGGCUCAACCUGGGAACUGCAUCCGAAACUGGCAAGCUAGAGUAUGGUAGAGGGUAGUGGAAUUUCCUGUGUAGCGGUGAAAUGCGUAGAUAUAGGAAGGAACACCAGUGGCGAAGGCGACUACCUGGACUGAUACUGACACUGAGGUGCGAAAGCGUGGGGAGCAAACAGGAUUA
Molecule: ribosomal RNA, 263 nt
Filed under: Pseudomonas fragi
Lineage: Bacteria; Pseudomonadati; Pseudomonadota; Gammaproteobacteria; Pseudomonadales; Pseudomonadaceae
Description: partial 16S ribosomal RNA
Rfam family: Bacterial small subunit ribosomal RNA
Source: RNAcentral